This 776-nucleotide long non-coding RNA is filed under the name Sinocyclocheilus anshuiensis. Its description in RNAcentral is "lncRNA (ENSSANG00000011179.1)". Lineage: Eukaryota; Metazoa; Chordata; Actinopteri; Cypriniformes; Cyprinidae. The record is from RNAcentral.
GCGCCAACUCGUUGUUGUGUACGUUAUGGCAAAACUCAAAUCUGAUAGGUGACACACACAUACCGUACUCGAAGGUAGAUCUUAAGCGCUGAAUGAAGAGAAGCGUUUGUCCUGCACAGCACAGGUGAUCCUCUGAAUUAUGAAGCACUGAAGCAAUAUACGAUAACAUUUAUUUAGCAACACCAUUUUUUUGUGGUAGGAAAUUAAAAUACGUGUUUUAAUUCUUGUUUCGCUCUGCGUUUCCAGGUACAAACGAAAAACACAAGCCAAAGAAAACGACGCAAAUUUGGCACCCAAGCUAUGCGAAAACUACACAUAAGUAAGUAUAUGUGCUGCCGAAGCAAGCACGAACAGAGAGCUCGGACGAGGGCUAGAUAUACCACUGACUCCCAGCUAUGUUUCACAUAGGUGCUGUGAUUGGACCGCUCGGUAUGACGCAGAGGCGCUCUUGGUUACAUGUCACACACCCUCCCCCACAGACAGCGCACAACCUCCCGCCGGGACAAAGAGCGGCCGCCUUCCUCACAGAAGAGCAUAAAGGGCUGAACGACCAGGAAACUCUCCUUUCAGAACAACAGAGGCCGUGAGAACACUGUGAACCUCAAAGCUCAACUCAGAACAGCCACUAGAAGGUGGAGAAAUUACAGGUUAUGUAGAAUAUGACAAAUAUGACCAAUAAUAAACAACAGGACCCACCAAUACCUGUCUAAACUUAUUUGAAAAGGUAAGGGGCCCAGAGCAAUAUAACGUUAGAGUGACCUAAGAGUGAAUAAAUC